UUCUUUUCUACUCUCUACUGUUGCCGGAAUUCUCAUUGUGCACGUGAGAAAAUUCAUUGCUAAGAAGGUUGCCCACUCAUAAGUUUGUUUGAAAAUAUGGACAAUCUAAAUGAUGAAGAGGAGGAGAUUAUCCUAUCUAAUUAUAAAUUGCAGGUUUGUUUGAAAAUAUGGACAAUCUAAAUGAUGAAGAGGAGGAGAUUAACCUAUCUAUGCACUUGUGCACGAGCAAUUGAAUUAUAUUAAAAAUCCUUAUAUGGAUUCUUCACAAACAGGUAAUAUAUGGUUGAUGGAAUUAUUACAGGGGAAUGAUAGGUGAUGUUAUACCAUGUUGAGGAUGGACAAAGAUGUAUUUUACAUAUUAUCUAAUGAGUUGCAAUCUAAAUAUGGGUUGCAGGGUUC
This is a long non-coding RNA of Prunus persica (peach), 399 nucleotides long. RefSeq lists it as uncharacterized. The record is from RefSeq and is a predicted model, not a curated record. Lineage: Eukaryota; Viridiplantae; Streptophyta; Magnoliopsida; Rosales; Rosaceae. The transcript has 2 exons.